AGCGGCGGACGGGUGAGUAAUGUAUAGGGAGCUGCCCGACAGAGGGGGAUACCAGUUGGAAACGACUGUUAAUACCGCAUAACGUCUACGGACCAAAGUAUGGGACCUUCGGGCCAUAUGCUGUCGGAUGCACCUAUAUGGGAUUAGCUAGUUGGUGGGGUAAUGGCUUACCAAGGCGACGAUCCCUAGCUGGUUUGAGAGGAUGAUCAGCCACACUGGAACUGAGACACGGUCCAGACUCCUACGGGAGGCAGCAGUGGGGAAUAUUGGACAAUGGGCGCAAGCCUGAUCCAGCCAUGCCGCGUGUGUGAAGAAGGCCUUCGGGUUGUAAAGCACUUUCAGCGGGGAGGAAGGGUGUUGUGUUAAUAGCACAGCAUUUCGACGUUACUCGCAGAAGAAGCACCGGCUAACUCCGUGCCAGCAGCCGCGGUAAUACGGAGGGUGCAAGCGUUAAUCGGAAUUACUGGGCGUAAAGCGCACGUAGGCGGUAUGUUAAGUUGGAUGUGAAAGCCCCGGGCUCAACCUGGGAAUUGCAUUCAAAACUGGCAUGCUAGAGUAUGUGAGAGGGGGGUAGAAUUCCAAGUGUAGCGGUGAAAUGCGUAGAGAUUUGGAGGAAUACCAGUGGCGAAGGCGGCCCCCUGGCACAAUACUGACGCUC
Molecule: ribosomal RNA, 658 nt
Filed under: uncultured bacterium
Lineage: Bacteria
Description: bacterial SSU rRNA
Rfam family: Bacterial small subunit ribosomal RNA
Source: RNAcentral